Molecule: long non-coding RNA, 561 nt
Organism: Rhododendron vialii
Lineage: Eukaryota; Viridiplantae; Streptophyta; Magnoliopsida; Ericales; Ericaceae
Exons: 3
Source: RefSeq, a predicted model, not a curated record
AAUGGACCAUUCUGCCCUUCUAUAAAGACGACGUCGUAUCCCUAUUACUCUCCAAAACCCCUCUUUCCUCCCUCCUCUCUCUGCAGUAGAAUGUAAACGUAAGUCUCUCCUUCCUCUCUUUAGGGUUUGGUCGUCCUCCUCCAUUGUGCUCUCCAUCCUCGCAAGACUUGCCCUUUCCUCGACGCCCGACCUUGUUCCCCAACUUCCAUCCCCUAAUCGGCUCCCUCUUUCUACCAGACACGCUAGCUCGGGUCUGUUUCGAUCGUUGUCAGGGCCUUGGAACUUUGAAUUGAACUUUAGUAUGUGGCAUGAGAAGAGUACUUCUGAAUGUUGACAUCAUGACCGAUUUGCUUUUGAGGUCCGAUUUGGAGCUUAACUUGAAUGUUACUGUCUUCCUUGUUGAGGUCUAAGAGUUGCUGGGUUGUCAAUUCAGUUUUUUUUUUUAAUCACCACAUGUAUAGAGUUCUUUUCUAAAUACUUGGACCUUUUGAUGAAUUUAUGCUGAAGAUGCAUUAACAUUCUCAUUUUUAUGAUAUUGGCUUAUUAGUUUGUUGAUACCAA